AUUUAAAUAGUUUAAUAAAAAAAUAUUGAUUUGUGGAAUCAAAGUUAUAUUAUGUGAUAUUUUAAAUA
RNAcentral lists this transfer RNA (68 nucleotides) under Euryusa optabilis. Its description in RNAcentral is "tRNA-His". The record is from RNAcentral. Lineage: Eukaryota; Metazoa; Arthropoda; Insecta; Coleoptera; Staphylinidae.